This 27-nucleotide non-coding RNA is filed under the name Mus musculus (house mouse). The record is from RNAcentral. Lineage: Eukaryota; Metazoa; Chordata; Mammalia; Rodentia; Muridae.
UGGAAAAGCUGCAGUCUUGAGACCUCA